Molecule: small nucleolar RNA, 100 nt
Filed under: Niveomyces insectorum RCEF 264
Lineage: Eukaryota; Fungi; Ascomycota; Sordariomycetes; Hypocreales; Cordycipitaceae
Description: Sporothrix insectorum RCEF 264 A. fumigatus snoRNA Afu_190
Rfam family: A. fumigatus snoRNA Afu_190
Source: Rfam by way of RNAcentral
GUAUGAUGAGACCUUCAGCUGGCACCAGUCAUAGGGCGACUUGUACUCCCUUCCUGUGAUGACAACACUAUUUGCUGUGGUCCACUGGACCAUUUCUGAC